This 338-nucleotide unclassified non-coding RNA is filed under the name soil metagenome. Its description in RNAcentral is "partial contains 5.8S ribosomal RNA, internal transcribed spacer 2, and large subunit ribosomal RNA". The stretch from base 1 to 120 matches the Rfam family "5.8S ribosomal RNA", at positions 35 to 154 of the family's 154-position model. The record is from RNAcentral.
GAUGAAGAACGCAGCGAAAUGCGAUAAGUAGUGUGAAUUGCAGAAUUCAGUGAAUCAUCGAAUCUUUGAACGCACAUUGCGCCCCUUGGUAUUCCAUGGGGCAUGCCUGUUCGAGCGUCAUCUACACCCUCAAGCUCUGCUUGGUGUUGGGCGUCUGUCCCGCCCCCGCGCGUGGACUCGCCCCAAAUCCAUUGGCAGCGUUCCUUGCCCCCUCUCGCGCAGCACAUUGCGCUUCUCGAGGGCGGCUCCGGGACGCGAUCCAGCAAGAUGACCACCGUCUUUGACCUCGGAUCAGGUAGGGAUACCCGCUGAACUUAAGCAUAUCAAUAAGCAGAGGA